RNAcentral lists this ribosomal RNA (450 nucleotides) under uncultured bacterium. RNAcentral's name for it is "partial 16S ribosomal RNA". It matches the Rfam family "Bacterial small subunit ribosomal RNA", at positions 354 to 796 of the family's 1533-position model. The record is from RNAcentral.
GUGGGGAAUAUUGGACAAUGGGUGAAAGCCUGAUCCAGCCAUGCCGCGUGUGUGAAGAAGGUCUUCGGAUUGUAAAGCACUUUAAGUUGGGAGGAAGGGCAGUAAGUUAAUACCUUGCUGUUUUGACGUUACCGACAGAAUAAGCACCGGCUAACUUCGUGCCAGCAGCCGCGGUAAUACGAAGGGUGCAAGCGUUAAUCGGAAUUACUGGGCGUAAAGCGCGCGUAGGUGGUUUUGUAAGUUGGAGGUGAAAUCCCCGGGCUCAACCUGGGAACUGACUCCAAAACUGCAUGACUAGAGUACGGUAGAGGGUAGUGGAAUUUCCUGUGUAGCGGUGAAAUGCGUAGAUAUAGGAAGGAACACCAGUGGCGAAGGCGACUACCUGGACUGAUACUGACACUGAGGUGCGAAAGCGUGGGGAGCAAACAGGAUUAGAUACCCUAGUAGUCC